UUUUGAGCCGAAACCUGUGGGAGAAGACUCCUUUAAAGCCUCAUGAGUGAAGAAUCCAGAUUUUCGGAGACAAGAGUAGGCAAGACAGAAGAUAAAGUUGUAGAGGAGUGGACCUGCUGGUGAGAAGAACAUGUGGAUGAAAAGAGAAGACUGACAUGGAGACGAAUGUUGCUUAGAAGAUGGGAAAUGGAAAAGGUGGAAAGAGAAGUUGAUGGGAGGACAAAGAGGACAGACAGCAUGUCAGAGUCCGAGGUCUGUACAUGGUAUGAUACACACCAAACGAC
Poeciliopsis prolifica (blackstripe livebearer) is the source of this 284-nucleotide long non-coding RNA. RefSeq lists it as uncharacterized. The record is from RefSeq and is a predicted model, not a curated record. NCBI's taxonomy places the organism in Eukaryota, Metazoa, Chordata, Actinopteri, Cyprinodontiformes, Poeciliidae. The transcript is spliced from 3 exons.